This 765-nucleotide ribosomal RNA is filed under the name uncultured Streptococcus sp. RNAcentral's name for it is "bacterial SSU rRNA". It matches the Rfam family "Bacterial small subunit ribosomal RNA", at positions 28 to 776 of the family's 1533-position model. The record is from RNAcentral. Lineage: Bacteria; Bacillati; Bacillota; Bacilli; Lactobacillales; Streptococcaceae.
GAUGAACGCUGGCGGCGUGCCUAAUACAUGCAAGUAGAACGCUGAAGGAAGGAGCUUGCUCUUUCCGGAUGAGUUGCGAACGGGUGAGUAACGCGUAGGUAACCUGCCUGGUAGCGGGGGAUAACUAUUGGAAACGAUAGCUAAUACCGCAUAACAGUAGAUGUUGCAUGAUAUCUGCUUGAAAGGGGCAAUUGCUCCACUACCAGAUGGACCUGCGUUGUAUUAGCUAGUUGGUGAGGUAACGGCUCACCAAGGCGACGAUACAUAGCCGACCUGAGAGGGUGAUCGGCCACACUGGGACUGAGACACGGCCCAGACUCCUACGGGAGGCAGCAGUAGGGAAUCUUCGGCAAUGGACGGAAGUCUGACCGAGCAACGCCGCGUGAGUGAAGAAGGUUUUCGGAUCGUAAAGCUCUGUUGUAAGAGAAGAACGAGUGUGAGAGUGGAAAGUUCACACUGUGACGGUAUCUUACCAGAAAGGGACGGCUAACUACGUGCCAGCAGCCGCGGUAAUACGUAGGUCCCGAGCGUUAUCCGGAUUUAUUGGGCGUAAAGCGAGCGCAGGCGGUUAGAUAAGUCUGAAGUUAAAGGCUGUGGCUUAACCAUAGUACGCUUUGGAAACUGUUUAACUUGAGUGCAAGAGGGGAGAGUGGAAUUCCAUGUGUAGCGGUGAAAUGCGUAGAUAUAUGGAGGAACACCGGUGGCGAAAGCGGCUCUCUGGCUUGUAACUGACGCUGAGGCUCGAAAGCGUGGGGAGCAAACAGG